UCUCCAUAGUAUGCGGGGCCCAAGAUGGA
This 29-nucleotide non-coding RNA is filed under the name Bombyx mori (domestic silkworm). Lineage: Eukaryota; Metazoa; Arthropoda; Insecta; Lepidoptera; Bombycidae. The record is from RNAcentral.